Molecule: transfer RNA, 72 nt
Filed under: Candidatus Woesearchaeota archaeon
Lineage: Archaea; Nanobdellati; Candidatus Woesearchaeota
Description: tRNA-Phe
Rfam family: tRNA
About the family: Transfer RNA (tRNA) molecules are approximately 80 nucleotides in length. Their secondary structure includes four short double-helical elements and three loops (D, anti-codon, and T loops).
Source: RNAcentral
GGGACUGUAGCUCAGCGGGAGAGCGCGUGACUGAAGAUCAUGAGGUCGCUGGUUCAAAUCCGGCCAGUCCCA